Molecule: ribosomal RNA, 465 nt
Filed under: Vreelandella stevensii
Lineage: Bacteria; Pseudomonadati; Pseudomonadota; Gammaproteobacteria; Oceanospirillales; Halomonadaceae
Description: partial 16S ribosomal RNA
Rfam family: Bacterial small subunit ribosomal RNA
Source: RNAcentral
CCUACGGGAGGCUGCAGUGGGGAAUAUUGGACAAUGGGGGGAACCCUGAUCCAGCCAUGCCGCGUGUGUGAAGAAGGCCCUCGGGUUGUAAAGCACUUUCAGUGAGGAAGAACGCCUGGUGGUUAAUACCCAUCAGGAAAGACAUCACUCACAGAAGAAGCACCGGCUAACUCCGUGCCAGCAGCCGCGGUAAUACGGAGGGUGCGAGUGUUAAUCGGAAUUACUGGGCGUAAAGCGCGCGUAGGUGGCUUGAUAAGCCGGUUGUGAAAGCCCCGGGCUCAACCUGGGAACGGCAUCCGGAACUGUCAAGCUAGAGUGCAGGAGAGGAAGGUAGAAUUCCCGGUGUAGCGGUGAAAUGCGUAGAGAUCGGGAGGAAUACCAGUGGCGAAGGCGGCCUUCUGGACUGACACUGACACUGAGGUGCGAAAGCGUGGGUAGCAAACAGGAUUAGAUACCCUAGUAGUC